This 240-nucleotide ribosomal RNA is filed under the name Lysobacter sp. RNAcentral describes it as "partial 16S ribosomal RNA". It matches the Rfam family "Bacterial small subunit ribosomal RNA", at positions 29 to 264 of the family's 1533-position model. Lineage: Bacteria; Pseudomonadati; Pseudomonadota; Gammaproteobacteria; Lysobacterales; Lysobacteraceae. The record is from RNAcentral.
AGUGAACGCUGGCGGCAGGCCUAACACAUGCAAGUCGAACGGCAGCACGAGAGAGCUUGCUCUCUUGGUGGCGAGUGGCGGACGGGUGAGGAAUACAUCGGAAUCUGCCCAAUCGUGGGGGAUAACCUCGGGAAACCGGGACUAAUACCGCAUACGACCUACGGGUGAAAGCGGAGGACCGCAAGGCUUCGCGCGAUUGGAUGAGCCGAUGUCGGAUUAGCUAGUUGGAGGGGUAACGGC